Molecule: small nuclear RNA, 131 nt
Organism: Diospyros lotus (date-plum)
Lineage: Eukaryota; Viridiplantae; Streptophyta; Magnoliopsida; Ericales; Ebenaceae
Product: U11 spliceosomal RNA
Exons: 1
Source: RefSeq, a predicted model, not a curated record
AAAAAGGGUCGGUUGCCUAAAUGUGCCAUGCCAACCUUUGCUAGUCGGGUGUUGUAUGGCAAUCAAGACAUAUGGCCAACACAAUCUGUGGAGAAUUCUAUAGGGUUGGCCAAGGUGUAAGGUUCAUAGGA